This 253-nucleotide ribosomal RNA is filed under the name uncultured bacterium. Its description in RNAcentral is "partial 16S ribosomal RNA". It matches the Rfam family "Bacterial small subunit ribosomal RNA", at positions 524 to 776 of the family's 1533-position model. The record is from RNAcentral.
UACGUAGGGUGCAAGCGUUGUCCGGAAUUAUUGGGCGUAAAGAGCUCGUAGGCGGUUUGUCACGUCUGCUGUGAAAACUGGAGGCUCAACCUCCAGCUUGCAGUGGGUACGGGCAGACUAGAGUGCGGUAGGGGAGAUUGGAAUUCCUGGUGUAGCGGUGGAAUGCGCAGAUAUCAGGAGGAACACCGAUGGCGAAGGCAGACCUCUGGGCCGUAACUGACGCUGAGGAGCGAAAGCGUGGGGAGCGAACAGG